Anas platyrhynchos (mallard) is the source of this 975-nucleotide long non-coding RNA. RefSeq lists it as uncharacterized. Lineage: Eukaryota; Metazoa; Chordata; Aves; Anseriformes; Anatidae. The record is from RefSeq and is a predicted model, not a curated record.
AAACCUGAAUAAAAAGAGGAGUGAAUGCUUCUGAGGCCUUGAAAACACCUCCUCUGUGUCAGCAGGCACUAGUAGUUUGUUGUUUGGGUUGGGAAUCCAGUGGAGCCAAGGUACCCCAUCAAGGUGUCCUCUUUCCGUGAGACCCAUCUUACCAUGGGAUGCAGACUGAAAGGUCCUGAUGCAUCCCACUGUUCAAAGGCAAGAGGCUUUGCCCCCGAGCUGCCGUUUCCCUUCUCUGCUGGUUGACUUCUGGUGGAGUCCCACGUUGUCCUGAUGUCAGUGAAGGUUCAUGCUAAGCACAACAAAAAGCUAUUGCAAGGUUUCUCCCCCAACACAAGGAGUGAGAAGUUCAUCAAGUUCAGCAAGAGAGUAGAUACUUGCCAGGGAUGUUUUUGGAUAUCUGGGAUGAGGUGAAGUGACUCAACUCAUUUCUCCUACUUGUAGAGUGCUGCUGGAAAACUAGUCCUCAGGUAGUGAUGAUAUCUUUACUGGGGCGUCUGGACUUACCAGAACAUUGGAGGGUAAGUAGGGCAGUAGGUAGCCAGAAGAACGCUGAAAGAUCUUGAUGCUUGUGUCACUGCUAUUAUCAUUAGAAACAACAGUAAUGGAAGGGAAACAACAUGGGAGGGAAACAUACUAAAGAAAGAAUGUAACCAUAAAACUGAAUUUAAAUAGUAUGACCUAAUUUUUCCAUGACUGGUUUCCUCAGUAUCUCUUUAAUUGCUUUCAUGCCCUGUUAAAUAACUGGACGAGAGAGUCCUGUUUAUUUUUUUGGGGCUUGCUCUUUCUCAGACCUGGGUUUCUGGGCACGCACCGCAGCGGCAUAGCUCCUGCCGCCAGUGAUGCUGCAGUGGCUGAGCAUGCACUGGUGAGCUCCGAUGUUUAUAGAACUGUGUCUGUCACAUCUCCAAUUCACAGCACAGUAAGUGCCCAGCAAUUGUAAAGGCUGCCCAUGCCACAGAGCUUUUGUUAAAC